GCGUGCCUAAUACAUGCAAGUCGAGCGAACGGACGAGAAGCUUGCUUCUCUGAUGUUAGCGGCGGACGGGUGAGUAACACGUGGAUAACCUACCUAUAAGACUGGGAUAACUUCGGGAAACCGGAGCUAAUACCGGAUAAUAUUUUGAACCGCAUGGUUCAAAAGUGAAAGACGGUCUUGCUGUCACUUAUAGAUGGAUCCGCGCUGCAUUAGCUAGUUGGUAAGGUAACGGCUUACCAAGGCAACGAUGCAUAGCCGACCUGAGAGGGUGAUCGGCCACACUGGAACUGAGACACGGUCCAGACUCCUACGGGAGGCAGCAGUAGGGAAUCUUCCGCAAUGGGCGAAAGCCUGACGGAGCAACGCCGCGUGAGUGAUGAAGGUCUUCGGAUCGUAAAACUCUGUUAUUAGGGAAGAACAUAUGUGUAAGUAACUGUGCACAUCUUGACGGUACCUAAUCAGAAAGCCACGGCUAACUACGUGCCAGCAGCCGCGGUAAUACGUAGGUGGCAAGCGUUAUCCGGAAUUAUUGGGCGUAAAGCGCGCGUAGGCGGUUUUUUAAGUCUGAUGUGAAAGCCCACGGCUCAACCGUGGAGGGUCAUUGGAAACUGGAAAACUUGAGUGCAGAAGAGGAAAGUGGAAUUCCAUGUGUAGCGGUGAAAUGCGCAGAGAUAUGGAGGAACACCAGUGGCGAAGGCGACUUUCUGGUCUGUAACUGACGCUGAUGUGCGAAAGCGUGGGGAUCAAACAGGAUUAGAUACCCUGGUAGUCCACGCCGUAAACGAUGAGUGCUAGGUGUUAGGGGGUUUCCGCCCCUUAGUGCUGCAGCUAACGCAUUAAGCACUCCGCCUGGGGAGUACGACCGCAAGGUUGAAACUCAAAGGAAUUGACGGGGACCCGCACAAGCGGUGGAGCAUGUGGUUUAAUUCGAAGCAACGCGAAGAACCUUACCAAAUCUUGACAUCCUUUGACAACUCUAGAGAUAGAGCUUUCCCCUUCGGGGGACAAAGUGACAGGUGGUGCAUGGUUGUCGUCAGCUCGUGUCGUGAGAUGUUGGGUUAAGUCCCGCAACGAGCGCAACCCUUAAGCUUAGUUGCCAUCAUUAAGUUGGGCACUCUAAGUUGACUGCCGGUGACAAACCGGAGGAAGGUGGGGAUGACGUCAAAUCAUCAUGCCCCUUAUGAUUUGGGCUACACACGUGCUACAAUGGACAAUACAAAGGGCAGCGAAACCGCGAGGUCAAGCAAAUCCCAUAAAGUUGUUCUCAGUUCGGAUUGUAGUCUGCAACUCGACUACAUGAAGCUGGAAUCGCUAGUAAUCGUAGAUCAGCAUGCUACGGUGAAUACGUUCCCGGGUCU
RNAcentral lists this ribosomal RNA (1358 nucleotides) under uncultured bacterium. RNAcentral describes it as "bacterial SSU rRNA". It matches the Rfam family "Bacterial small subunit ribosomal RNA", at positions 42 to 1381 of the family's 1533-position model. The record is from RNAcentral.